UUUCCAAGGCAGCGAAUCGGUUGUGGA
Molecule: small RNA, 27 nt
Filed under: Bombyx mori (domestic silkworm)
Lineage: Eukaryota; Metazoa; Arthropoda; Insecta; Lepidoptera; Bombycidae
Description: ovarian small RNA-38284
Source: RNAcentral